GGACGUGUGCCUGAAUAAAGGACUACUUUGAUAGAGUAGAACAUAGGAACUUAAACUUCCUCACCUCCU
This 69-nucleotide transfer RNA is filed under the name Zonosaurus quadrilineatus. Its description in RNAcentral is "tRNA-Ile". The record is from RNAcentral. Lineage: Eukaryota; Metazoa; Chordata; Lepidosauria; Squamata; Gerrhosauridae.